AAGAAAAUCUCCGCGGGAGCAGAGCGGUGACCGUACCAAAUCUGACACAGGAGGGCGAGGCGAAUAGCCUCAGGCGCGCGAGAGAACCCUACGUGAAGGAACUCGGCAAAUUAACCCCGUAAGUUCGCGAUAAGGGGUGCCCCCCGUAAGGGGGGCCACAGGAAAACGACAGCUGCGACUGUUUACUAAAAACACAGGUCUCUGCGAAGUCGUCAAAGACGACGUAUAGGGACUGACGCUUGCCCGCUGUUGGAACGUUAAGGUGACUGGUUAGCCGCAAGGCGAGGCUGGGAACCGAAGCGCCAAUGAAGGGCGGCCGUAACUAUGACGGUCCUAAGGUAGCGAAAUUCCUUGUCGGGUAAGUUCCGACCCGCACGAAUAGCGUAACGACAGCUGUACUGUCUCCACGAGGGACUCGGCGAAAUUGUAGUUGUGGUGAAGAUGCCACAUACCCGCACCAAGACGGAAAGACCCCGUGAACCUUUACUGUAACCUAAUACUGGCUCUAGGUUCGCCAUGUGUAGCAUAGGUGGGAGACGUUAAUGUCGGGGGCGCCAGCCUCCGAAUAGUCUUCAGUGAAAUACCACUCUUGGCGAUCUUGGAGUCUAACCUGCGACCGUUAUCCGGCGUGGGAACAGUGUUAGGCGGGCAGUUUGACUGGGGCGGUCUCCUCCUAAAAGGUAACGGAGGAGUGCAAAGGUACCCUCGAUGCGGUUGGCAAUCGCAUGAAGAGCGUAAAGGUAUAAGGGUGCUUGACUGCGAGACACAUAGGUCGAGCAGGUACGAAAGUAGGUCUUAGUGAUCCGGUGGUCCCGUGUGGAAGGGCCAUCGCUCAUCAGAUAAAAGGUACUCCGCGGAUAACAGGCUGAUCACGCCCAAGAGUCCAUAUCGACGGCGUGGUUUGGCACCUGGAUGUCGGCUCAUCGCAUCCCGGGGCUGAAGGCGGUCCCAAGGGUUGGUCUGUUCGCCCAUUAAAGCGGUACGUGAGCUGGGUUUAGACCGUCGUGAGACAGGUCGGUCCCUAUCUGGUGUGGGCGCAGGAUGAUUGCGGAGACUCUUUCCUAGUACGAGAGGAUUGGAAAGAACGGACCUCUGGUGUGCCAGUUGUCGCGCUAGCGGCAUCGCUGGAUAGCUAUGUCCGGGCUGGAUAAGCGCUGAAAGCAUCUAAGUGCGAAGCCAACUCCAAGACUGGUCAUCCCAUGAGACACCUGGUAGACCACCAGGUUGAUAGGCCGGAAGUGUAAGGACAGCAAUGUUCUCAGCUAACCGGUACUAACCAGUCGAUCGGCUUGAUCC
This 1296-nucleotide ribosomal RNA is filed under the name metagenome. RNAcentral's name for it is "bacterial LSU rRNA". It matches the Rfam family "Bacterial large subunit ribosomal RNA", at positions 1610 to 2925 of the family's 2925-position model. The record is from RNAcentral.